This 499-nucleotide ribosomal RNA is filed under the name uncultured bacterium. RNAcentral describes it as "bacterial SSU rRNA". It matches the Rfam family "Bacterial small subunit ribosomal RNA", at positions 12 to 507 of the family's 1533-position model. The record is from RNAcentral.
CUUUACCGCGGCUCAGGACGAACGCUGGCGGCGUGGCUAAGACAUGCAAGUUGAGCGAGAAUAUACCUUCGGGUAUAGGGAAGCGGCAAACGGGUGAGUAACACGUAAGUAACCUGCCCUUGAGACUGGGAUAGCUCAGCGAAAGUUGAGGUAAUACCGGAUGACAACCAUUAAUGCAUGUUAAUGGAUUGAAAGGGAUGAAAAGAUGCUCAAGGAGGGGCUUGCGGCCUAUCAGCUAGUUGGUGAGGUAACGGCUCACCAAGGCGACGAUCAGUAGCCGGUCUGAGAGGAUGAACGGCCACAUUGGGACUGAGAUACGGCCCAGACUCCUACGGGAGGCAGCAGUGAGGAAUAUUGGUCAAUGGGCGAGAGCCUGAACCAGCCAAGUCGCGUGAGGGAUGACGGUCCUACGGAUUGUAAACCUCUUUUGUCGGGGAGCAAGAGCUCUACGUGUAGAGUAGUGAGAGUACCCGAAGAAAAAGCAUCGGCUAACUCCGUG